Molecule: ribosomal RNA, 363 nt
Filed under: Triticum aestivum (bread wheat)
Lineage: Eukaryota; Viridiplantae; Streptophyta; Magnoliopsida; Poales; Poaceae
Description: partial small subunit ribosomal RNA
Source: RNAcentral
AUGAGAAUUGGAUGGUUCAGUAUGGCCGUGUGUUACAAGGCGCGCCGGUUCGAGGUUUUCAAAGCCAACGUCGAAUUCAUUGAAACACUCAAUGCCCAGAAUCACAAGUUCUGGCUCGGCGUCAACCAGUUCGCUGAUAUCACCAAUGAUGAGUUCAGGACAACCAACACAAACAAGGGGUUGAAAUCAAACUCCAUGCGAGUUCUUUCUACAGGAUUCAAGUAUGAGAAUUUGAGUUUUGAUGCUCUUCCAACAACGAUGGACUGGAGGGCUAAGGGGGCUGUCACCCCUAUCAAGGAUCAAGGCCAGUGUGGUAAGUACACAAAAAAUGUGUUGCACUGCAUAUAUGUUUUAAUAUUUUAG